RNAcentral lists this ribosomal RNA (507 nucleotides) under uncultured bacterium. Its description in RNAcentral is "partial 16S ribosomal RNA". It matches the Rfam family "Bacterial small subunit ribosomal RNA", at positions 28 to 506 of the family's 1533-position model. The record is from RNAcentral.
GACGAACGCUGGCGGCGUGCCUAAUACAUGCAAGUCGAACGCUUCUUUCCUCCCGAGUGCUUGCACUCAAUUGGAAAGAGGAGUGGCGGACGGGUGAGUAACACGUGGGUAACCUACCCAUCAGAGGGGGAUAACACUUGGAAACAGGUGCUAAUACCGCAUAACAGUUUAUGCCGCAUGGCAUAAGAGUGAAAGGCGCUUUCGGGUGUCGCUGAUGGAUGGACCCGCGGUGCAUUAGCUAGUUGGUGAGGUAACGGCUCACCAAGGCCACGAUGCAUAGCCGACCUGAGAGGGUGAUCGGCCACACUGGGACUGAGACACGGCCCAGACUCCUACGGGAGGCAGCAGUAGGGAAUCUUCGGCAAUGGACGAAAGUCUGACCGAGCAACGCCGCGUGAGUGAAGAAGGUUUUCGGAUCAUAAAACUCUGUUGUUAGAGAAGAACAAGGACGUUAGUAACUGAACGUCCCCUGACGGUAUCUAACCAGAAAGCCACGGCUAACUACGU